Long non-coding RNA from Sinocyclocheilus anshuiensis, 1314 nucleotides. Ensembl annotates it as Fc receptor-like protein 5. The record is from Ensembl. NCBI's taxonomy places the organism in Eukaryota, Metazoa, Chordata, Actinopteri, Cypriniformes, Cyprinidae.
CUGGUGCUUGCAUCUGGAUAUUGUUCUCAUUUCUUCAGCAAGGAUGGAAUCGAUGCAUCUUACACUCAUUCUCAUAGGUAUUUCGGUUUUGCAUCCAAGGAUGGAUGCUCUAGAAAAGCUUGAUGAACCGGUUCUGUCGGGUCCGUCUGCUGCAUUAGAAGGUUCAGUUGUGGAUUUCUUCUGUGAUAUUCCUGAGAAACCGGCAACGUUGUCUGUCCAAUAUGAGCUUUAUGUCGAGACAAACCCGGGUAAGAUGAUUGGGGAGUACUCCUCGCUGUCUGGAGAAUUUGCCACUUUUUCUUUGAUAAUCACCGAACAGCAUGACGGUCGACUCAUCUGCAAGGCCAGCGGACACAAUGACACCGAUAUCGAGAGCUCAUUCAGUAAUGGCAUGGACUUCAGAGUCAUUGUUCCAGUGAAGGAACUGAGCAUCAUUUCACAUCCUUACAUUGAGAACAUAUGGGAAGGACAAACUUUGACCCUCCAGUGCACAAAAACCAAAGGAACGUACGUCUCCUAUGAUUGGCUCUGGAACGACGCACCAGUUCAGAUGCUGUACGACAGGAAUAACGACACUCUGACCAUCCACAGGGUUUCUGCACAAAAUGCAGGCAAUUACAUGUGUGUGGCAUCAAACCAAUAUAAUGACACGACGAUCUUCAACGCCAGCAGUGGUGUGACUGUGUACAUCAGAGAAUAUGUGUCAAAGCCUGAAUUCUCCUUUGAUGUUGUGAAGCUUGAUGAUGGAGGUUAUAAAGCCAUCAUCAUGUGUCAGUCUAAGAAAGGAACGCCGCUCAACACCUUUAGCCUGUUGAACCACACUGACCUCAUCGCCACCGAAACGACCGACACGACCAGUGCGUUCUUUAACAUGCCCAUCGAGCUGAACCGUUACAUGGGACAAAUGAGAUGUAACGCCAGCAACCAGGGCAACUGGGUUCUGAGUGACCCGUACAGCUUGACCGUGGAGUCUGUAGGAGGCGCUGUAACGGUGACGCCCUUCAAACAAGUGGGUCUGGACUUCCAGGUGGUCAACGUGGAACUGCACUGUAAGGUGGAGCGGGGAACGUUUCCACAGUACAGCUGGUUCCUCAACGACAGCAGGCUGCUGGGCCGAAGAGGUUUCUACACAGACAAAUCCAUUCUGUCUCUGUCUGUAGGCCGAGACAGCACUGGAUUCUACCACUGCCAAGCUUCAGACAGAUUUGACAACAGCACCAGCAUCCGCAGCCCAAAGAUGCUGAUCAGUAAAGAGGCACUGAACACAGUCUCUCCUUUGGUUGUGAUCGUUGUUUUCACCUCUUUUGCCCUGCU